GUGCCAGCAGCCGCGGUAAUACGAAGGGGGCUAGCGUUGUUCGGAAUUACUGGGCGUAAAGCGCACGUAGGCGGGUCGUUAAGUCAGGGGUGAAAUCCCAGAGCUCAACUCUGGAACUGCCUUUGAUACUGGCGACCUAGAGUUCGGAAGAGGUUAGUGGAAUUCCCAGUGUAGAGGUGAAAUUCGUAGAUAUUGGGAAGAACACCAGUGGCGAAGGCGGCUAACUGGUCCGAUACUGACGCUGAGGUGCGAAAGCGUGGGGAGCAAACAGGAUUAGAAACCCUCGUAGUCC
Molecule: ribosomal RNA, 292 nt
Filed under: uncultured bacterium
Lineage: Bacteria
Description: partial 16S ribosomal RNA
Rfam family: Bacterial small subunit ribosomal RNA
Source: RNAcentral